RNAcentral lists this ribosomal RNA (251 nucleotides) under uncultured bacterium. RNAcentral describes it as "partial 16S ribosomal RNA". It matches the Rfam family "Bacterial small subunit ribosomal RNA", at positions 524 to 774 of the family's 1533-position model. The record is from RNAcentral.
UACGUAGGGGGCGAGCGUUGUCCGGAAUGACUGGGCGUAAAGGGAGUGUAGGCGGCUCUUUAAGUUAUAUGUGAAAUCCCGCGGCUUAACCGUGGAAGUGCAUAUAAAACUGGGGAGCUGGAGUGCAGGAGAGGUGAGUGGAAUUCCUAGUGUAGCGGUGGAAUGCGUAGAUAUUAGGAAGAACACCGGUGGCGAAGGCGGCUCACUGGACUGUAACUGACGCUGAGGCUCGAAAGCGUGGGGAGCAAACA